This is a long non-coding RNA of Gavialis gangeticus (Gharial), 146 nucleotides long. RefSeq lists it as uncharacterized. The record is from RefSeq and is a predicted model, not a curated record. The transcript has 2 exons. NCBI's taxonomy places the organism in Eukaryota, Metazoa, Chordata, Crocodylia, Gavialidae.
AACUGAAAGUUACUAUGCAGUACAGGUGUAUGUUUACAUGUGUGCACCUGUACUGUGCAGUACCUCUGGUGACUUAUGCUGAGUUGACCAUAAAUUUCCUACCUGCAUCGUGCAGGCAGCAAAUUUCCACCCACUUAGUUACUGCG